Molecule: long non-coding RNA, 255 nt
Filed under: Paramuricea clavata
Lineage: Eukaryota; Metazoa; Cnidaria; Anthozoa; Malacalcyonacea; Plexauridae
Source: RNAcentral
CACAGAGGAAGUACAUGCAAAGAUCUCACUUCAGGUUAAUUUCGCGUAAGGGAUUUUUUCAGUCCGCCAUGUUCUUAGCAAGUGCCCCAAAGAGAGGCAGUCACCCCCCUGAAAACAUAUUGAAAAUUAAUAUUCCAGGGGAGUGAAUGCCUCUCUUUAGGGCACUUGCUAAGAACAUGGCCGCCAGCUAUUUCGGUAAGAAAUCGCCUUACGGUUUUGUAAUGGAAGUUACACUUCUGUAUGUCUUUCUUCUGU